AGUGAACGCUGGCGGUAGGCCUAACACAUGCAAGUCGAACGGCAGCACAGUAAGAGCUUGCUCUUACGGGUGGCGAGUGGCGGACGGGUGAGGAAUACAUCGGAAUCUACUUUUUCGUGGGGGAUAACGUAGGGAAACUUACGCUAAUACCGCAUACGACCUACGGGUGAAAGCAGGGGAUCUUCGGACCUUGCGCGAUUGAAUGAGCCGAUGUCGGAUUAGCUAGUUGGCGGGGUAAAGGCCCACCAAGGCGACGAUCCGUAGCUGGUCUGAGAGGAUGAUCAGCCACACUGGAACUGAGACACGGUCCAGACUCCUACGGGAGGCAGCAGUGGGGAAUAUUGGACAAUGGGCGCAAGCCUGAUCCAGCCAUACCGCGUGGGUGAAGAAGGCCUUCGGGUUGUAAAGCCCUUUUGUUGGGAAAGAAAAGCAGCAGGUUAAUACCCCGCUGUUCUGACGGUACCCUAGAAUAAGCACCGGCUAACUUCGUG
RNAcentral lists this ribosomal RNA (491 nucleotides) under uncultured bacterium. Its description in RNAcentral is "partial 16S ribosomal RNA". It matches the Rfam family "Bacterial small subunit ribosomal RNA", at positions 29 to 507 of the family's 1533-position model. The record is from RNAcentral.